RNAcentral lists this ribosomal RNA (334 nucleotides) under uncultured bacterium. RNAcentral describes it as "bacterial SSU rRNA". It matches the Rfam family "Bacterial small subunit ribosomal RNA", at positions 147 to 507 of the family's 1533-position model. The record is from RNAcentral.
GCCACCGAAAGGUGGUCUAAUACUUCAUAAUAUCCAUCUCGUAUGGAUUAAAGCUUUAUGCGCUUUGGGAGGGGCCUGCGUAACAUUAGCUUGUUGGUGAGGUAAAGCUCACCAAGGCUUCGAUGUUUAAAACUGGUUUGAGAGGAUGACCAGUCACACUGGGACUGAGAUACGGCCCAGACUCCUACGGGAGGCAGCAGUAAGGAAUCUUCCACAAUGGGGCAACCCUGAUGGAGCAAUACCGCGUGCAGGAUGAAGCGUUUCGGCGUGUAAACUGCUUUUAUCACCGAAGAUUAUGACUGUAGGUGAAGAAUAAGGACCGGCUAACUACGUG